AAAAACUUAGGAUAUUUAAACCAAAAGCCUUCAAAGCUUUUAAAAAGGGUGCAAACCCU
Molecule: transfer RNA, 59 nt
Filed under: Anolis brevirostris
Lineage: Eukaryota; Metazoa; Chordata; Lepidosauria; Squamata; Anolidae
Description: tRNA-Trp
Source: RNAcentral